RNAcentral lists this ribosomal RNA (505 nucleotides) under uncultured bacterium. Its description in RNAcentral is "partial 16S ribosomal RNA". It matches the Rfam family "Bacterial small subunit ribosomal RNA", at positions 28 to 507 of the family's 1533-position model. The record is from RNAcentral.
GACGAACGCUGGCGGCGUGCCUAAUACAUGCAAGUAGAACGCACAGUUUAUACUGUAGCUUUCUACACCAUAGACUGUGAGUUGCGACCGGGUGAUUAACGCGUAGGUAACCUGCCUGGUAGCGGGGGAUAACUAUUGGAAACGGUAGCUAAUACCGCAUAGUAUUAAUUAUUGCAUGAUAAUUAAUUGGAAGGUGCAAUUGCACCACUAUCUGAUGGACCUGCGUGGUAUUAGCUAGUAGGUGAGGUAACGGCUCACCUAGGCGACGAUACAUAGCCGACCUGAGAGGGUGAUCGGCCACCCUGGGACUGGGACACGGCCCAGAGUACUACGGGAGGCAGCAGAAGGGAAUCUGAGGCAAUGGACGAGAGUAUGACCGAACGACGCCGCGUGAGUGGAGGAGGUUUUCGGAUCGUGAAGCUCUGUUGUAAGAGAAGAACCGGUUUGGGAGUUGAAAGUUCACUGUGUGACGGUAGUUUAUAAGAAAGGGCCGGCUAACUACGUG